Molecule: ribosomal RNA, 850 nt
Filed under: uncultured archaeon
Lineage: Archaea
Description: bacterial SSU rRNA
Rfam family: Archaeal small subunit ribosomal RNA
Source: RNAcentral
GCUUAAAGGGUCCGUAGCUGGCUAAGUUAGUCCCCUGUUAAAUCCAACGAAUUAAUCGUUGGAUCGCGGGGGAUACUGCUUGGCUAGGGGACGAGAGAGGCAGACGGUAUUUCCGGGGUAGGGGUGAAAUCCUAUAAUCCCGGGAAGACCACCAGUGGCGAAGGCUGUCUGCUAGAACGCGCCCGACGGUGAGGGAUGAAAGCUGGGGGAGCGAACCGGAUUAGAUACCCGGGUAGUCCCAGCUGUAAACGAUGCAGGCUAGGUGUUUGGACGGCCACGUGCCGUUCUAGUGCCGCAGGGAAGCUGUUAAGCCUGCCGCCUGGGGAGUACGAUCGCAAGAUUGAAACUUAAAGGAAUUGGCGGGGGAGCACCACAAGGGGUGAAGCUUGCGGUUUAAUUGGAGUCAACGCCGGAAAUCUCACCGGGAGCGACAGCAGUGUGAAGGCCAGAUUAAAGGUCUUGCCAGACGAGCUGAGAGGAGGUGCAUGGCCGUCGCCAGUUCGUGCCGUGAGGUGUCCUGUUAAGUCAGGCAACGAUCGAGACCCGCGUCCUCUGUUGCUACUAGCCUUGUGCUGGGCACACUGAGGAGACCGCCACUGAUAAAGUGGAGGAAGGAGCGGGCCACGGCAGGUCAGUAUGCCCCGAAUCUCCCGGGCCACACGCGGGCUGCAAUGGCAGGUACAAUGAGUUCCGACCUCGAAAGGGGGAGGCAAUCUCGAAAGCCUGCCGUAGUUGGGAUCGAAGGCUGCAACCCGCCUUCGUGAACAUGGAAUCCCUAGUAAUCGCGUGUCAUCAGCGCGCGGUGAAUACGUCCCUGCUCCUUGCACACACCCCCCGUAAGGGCCGAAUC